CACUUUGCAUCAGCAGCACCAUGCUCCAGUGCUCUGGGAGACUUUAUAGUGGUGACACUUGAACACUGGAUGACUGACAGCUGUCCUUCAUGACAACAGAAGACACAGAAAUCCUCCUCAUCAGAAACAUGACUUUGAUCUGCGUCCUCAUCUGGACUCUCCUCUGCUGUUGCUUCACAGAGUCCAGAGGACAGAUCACAGUGACUCAGCCUGGAGCAGUGAGCUCUGCUCUGGGAGGCUCCGUCACCAUCAGAUGCACGACCAGUCAGCAUGUUCGUGUUUAUAAUGGCAAGCACCGUUUAGCCUGGUACCAGCAGAAAGAUGGAGGAGUUCCUAAACUGCUCAUUUCUAAUGCUAACAGCAGAGAAUCAGGGAUUCCAGCUCGUUUUACAGGCAGUGGAUCAAACUCUGACUUCACUCUGACCAUCAGUGGAGUCCAGACUGAAGAUGAAGCAGUUUAUCACUGUCAGAGUCUCCAUUACCCCAACAGUCAGUAUGUGUUCACACAGUGAAAAGGCGUCGUACAAAAACCUC
Non-coding RNA from Stegastes partitus (bicolor damselfish), 534 nucleotides. The record is from the annotation of a RefSeq genome assembly. Lineage: Eukaryota; Metazoa; Chordata; Actinopteri; Pomacentridae.